GGGGAUGUAAUGGUUUCGACGGGGAUUUUGUGAUUGAGAAUGGCCAUCCGCAGACGGCGCCUGCGUCAAAAAGCCGAACCUAAAAGAAUAAACGACAACGAUAAUUUAGCUUUUGCUGCUUAAUUAAAGCAGCCGCCGGCCUGAAAUAACCUGCCGCUUCAGAAUCCGGCGCCGACAGGCGGGGCACUUGUCCGUUUAAGCUUUGCGGCGGGCAAAGAUCGAUGAAGCUACCAGAACGCCAGUCGUGUUGGUUUGCCUGGCGGGAAGGGAAUGAUGAAUAACCAACUGUGAUGGGAGAAGUUCUCACUGACGGAUUUUCGGACCCGGGUUCGAUUCCCGGCAUCUCCAUUU
Molecule: small RNA, 351 nt
Filed under: Clostridiales bacterium
Lineage: Bacteria; Bacillati; Bacillota; Clostridia; Eubacteriales
Description: transfer-messenger RNA
Rfam family: transfer-messenger RNA
About the family: Bacterial tmRNA, also known as 10Sa RNA or SsrA, is named for its dual tRNA and mRNA-like properties.
Source: RNAcentral